UCAUCGUCGUUUAUUUCCUCAACUCUUAUUUCGGGUAGAUUAUAUUGGUUAUUUUCUUCUUUUUCUUCUAAUUCAUCUUCUAGUUGCAAUUUUUCUUCAAAUUUAAUUAUCUCAUUUGUUAAUUUUGUUUUUUGUUCUUUUUCUUUUUGUUUCAUUUCAUACAUCUCUUUUAGCAUUGCCAACUCUUUUUCUAAUUAUAUUAUUUUAGUAUUUUUUACUUCUUCUAAUUGUUGUACUUCCUUUUUUGCUUGUUGUUUAUUUUUCUAUUUCCGUUUUUCUAUCUAUUUCUUCUAUUUUCUUUUGUUAUUCUUGUCAUAGCAGUUAAACUAUCUUCUUAGUUUUACUGUUUCUUUUUCUAACAUUAAACUUAUAUUGUCAC
Molecule: long non-coding RNA, 379 nt
Filed under: Solanum tuberosum (potato)
Lineage: Eukaryota; Viridiplantae; Streptophyta; Magnoliopsida; Solanales; Solanaceae
Description: long non-coding RNA (STUB_LNC000540)
Source: RNAcentral